GUCGAGCGAAUGGAUUAAGAGCUUGCUCUUAUGAAGUUAGCGGCGGACGGGUGAGUAACACGUGGGUAACCUGCCCAUAAGACUGGGAUUACUCCGGGAAACCGGGGCUAAUACCGGAUAACAUUUUGAACCGCAUGGUUCGAAAUUGAAAGGCGGCUUCGGCUGUCACUUAUGGAUGGACCCGCGUCGCAUUAGCUAGUUGGUGAGGUAACGGCUCACCAAGGCAACGAUGCGUAGCCGACCUGAGAGGGUGAUCGGCCACACUGGGACUGAGACACGGCCCAGACUCCUACGGGAGGCAGCAGUAGGGAAUCUUCCGCAAUGGACGAAAGUCUGACGGAGCAACGCCGCGUGAGUGAUGAAGGCUUUCGGGUCGUAAAACUCUGUUGUUAGGGAAGAACAAGUGCUAGUUGAAUAAGCUGGCACCUUGACGGUACCUAACCAGAAAGCCACGGCUAACUACGUGCCAGCAGCCGCGGUAAUACGUAGGUGGCAAGCGUUAUCCGGAAUUAUUGGGCGUAAAGCGCGCGCAGGUGGUUUCUUAAGUCUGAUGUGAAAGCCCACGGCUCAACCGUGGAGGGUCAUUGGAAACUGGGAGACUUGAGUGCA
Molecule: ribosomal RNA, 609 nt
Filed under: Bacillus cereus
Lineage: Bacteria; Bacillati; Bacillota; Bacilli; Caryophanales; Bacillaceae
Description: bacterial SSU rRNA
Rfam family: Bacterial small subunit ribosomal RNA
Source: RNAcentral